Long non-coding RNA from Hyaena hyaena (striped hyena), 1564 nucleotides. RefSeq lists it as uncharacterized. The transcript has 3 exons. The record is from RefSeq and is a predicted model, not a curated record. Lineage: Eukaryota; Metazoa; Chordata; Mammalia; Carnivora; Hyaenidae.
GGAAGACAAGAGCUCGGCCCUCAGAAAGAAACUUUCACUUGUAACAGUAACCUCCAAGAGAGAUGCCAAUGGCUGUUUCAACCCGUAUAUUUAACAGCCCAGCAGAGAGCCAUUCAUUAGUCUUUCAUCCAUCCAUCCAUCCAUUCACCCAGCUAAUAGUUACCACAUACGUGUGUCUGCCAGGAACUGUACUAGAUGCUGAGGCUGGAGCAGUGGACAAAGAGGAAUGUCCUUUCUCCUCCCACAGAACUAAUACUAGAAAUCUAGCAGAGAGAAAACUGGGUCAUGGGUCCUGAGAGGCCAACUGGUGGUUCCGUUAAGUAGUCGGGGCAGGCAGCUCGGAACGGGUGCGGUUUCCGCGGAGACCUGAAUGACAGGAGCCAGCCGCACAGAGCUCAGCACUUUGUUUUCAGACAGUGCUGGGCAGGUUAGAACGAUGGGCUUGGUUUGGGCGGCCGCCCGGGAUCCCCCUGCCAGGGCUCCGUGGGAGACGGCACCGCUCGGCAGUGGAGGGAAGGCUGCGUCUGGGUUCCCCCCCGCAGGAGGCAGCACGGCGCUAAAGCGCUCUGGGACGGGGAAAGGAAGAGAGUAGGUCUGUCCUCGUGGAUGAGGGCCUCCGGGAGGCAGUAUUUAGAUUCCAAGCGCAGCGGGAAGUCACAGUAUUAAGAAGCGGAGUGGGCAUGGCUUGAUUUACAUCUUAAAAGGGACUUCUGAUGUGAAGAGUCCAUCCGAGGAGGCCAGGGUGUCCACAGACAGCUGUUGCAGCCGUCCACGAGGCCAGGGGGCCGUGGGGGACACAGAGGGGAUGAACUCACUCCUGCAGUGCUCCAGAGGAGGAAGCAGUAAGACCUGUAGGUGCACUGAAUUUGGGGAGGGCAGGAAAGACCACCGUCUCUAGGUUUGGGCCCUGGGCAUCCACGGGUACGGUGCUGAGGUCUACAGAAAUGGCAAAGAUCGGGCGAGCAGGGGCGGGGGAAGACUGUGAAUUCUCUUUUGGUUAUGUUGAUAGUGAGGAGCUCGUGCCAAUCCAGGCAGAGAUGUGGAGGAGCCAGCCGGGCAUACACUGCCUGAGUUCGAAGCAGACAUCAGGGCCAGGGAUGUGGGAGCUGGUGCAAAUCGAUGCUAUUUUACAGCCCUUGAAGUGUGGAAGCUCCCUGGAAGAAUACACAGAAGAGGCCCUGGGCCUUCUCGGAUGGAAGAGGAGCCAGCAAAGGAGGCUGAGCAGGGAAAAUGAACAUAAUAGAGAAAUGUAUUGGCUUCCCAUACAGUCUGGAGGGUCUAUCUGAAAUCAAUGGCCGUGGCUUUCAAGUCAAACCAGAGAGGCAGCAGCUAGCCUUCAUCAAGAAGGGGAAAGACAAGCCCCAGGAGCCCUGCAGAACCUCAUUUUAAGCGUCUGAAUUACACAAAGGCUGCAUUCCUCUCUCUGCCUUUUCACUGCUGCCAUUUGGUUGCAAGUUGAAUACUCCAUAAUAAAAUACAAGAAGCUUCUGGAAAAGACUCGUCUGAAGAAUACCUCCCAGAUUCAUUUGUCAGUGAGACAUCUAAUAAAGACUUUAGAACAAUA